GGGCGGGGAAGUUUAGGAGUUGAGGAAAGAAGAUUAAAGAGCGUGAGGAGGAUUACUCCAACUACCAGACCUGCGUUGUCAAUGAGAAAAUAACAGUCCAUUGAAGGGGACCGAGUAGUGGAGGAGAGAGGAAGAUCAGUCACACAAAAGAAGUGUUAAGACUUGCCUUUUGAGACACUGAAGGCUAAAGGUACCUGAUAAAUCUCAUCUUUCUGUGUCCUAUAGCUGCACAGGCUGCCUGAAGUUACAUUUAGAGACUGAAAUCACUGCACCUUAAAAACAAAAGAUUGAGCUGCACUGCAUUCCUGAUGUUUCACCAUCACUGACUGAGUAUUCCUCACAAGACAUUGCUGCCUGCAGUGACUGGCGCUUUUCCUCCACGUUUU
Molecule: RNA transcript, 386 nt
Organism: Eptesicus fuscus (big brown bat)
Lineage: Eukaryota; Metazoa; Chordata; Mammalia; Chiroptera; Vespertilionidae
Exons: 7
Source: RefSeq, a predicted model, not a curated record